RNAcentral lists this ribosomal RNA (421 nucleotides) under uncultured bacterium. RNAcentral describes it as "bacterial SSU rRNA". It matches the Rfam family "Bacterial small subunit ribosomal RNA", at positions 29 to 440 of the family's 1533-position model. The record is from RNAcentral.
AACGAACGCUGGCGGCGCGCCUAAUACAUGCAAGUCGAGCGAGAAGACGUAGCAAUACGUUUGUAAAGCGGCGAACGGGUGAGGAAUACAUGGGUAACCUACCCUCGAGUGGGGAAUAACUAGCCGAAAGGUUAGCUAAUACCGCGUACGCUCCUUGGACUUCGGUUCAGGGAGGAAAGCGAUACCGUGGGUAUCGCGCUCUUGGAUGGGCUCAUGUCCUAUCAGCUUGUUGGUGAGGUAACGGCUCACCAAGGCUUCGACGGGUAGCUGGUCUGAGAGGACGAUCAGCCACACUGGCACUGCGACACGGGCCAGACUCCUACGGGAGGCAGCAGUAAGGAAUAUUGCGCAAUGGGCGAAAGCCUGACGCAGCGACGCCGCGUGGGGGAUGAAGGUCUUCGGAUUGUAAACCCCUUUCGGG